Passer domesticus (house sparrow) is the source of this 6724-nucleotide RNA transcript. It is a transcript of the gene named structural maintenance of chromosomes 6, with no coding region annotated. The record is from RefSeq and is a predicted model, not a curated record. The transcript is spliced from 29 exons. Lineage: Eukaryota; Metazoa; Chordata; Aves; Passeriformes; Passeridae.
CGCGCGCACGGAAACGCGCCCCGCGGGCCGCGGAGCGCGCAGGCGCCGCACUGGCGGAGGCGGCUCUUCCGCCCGCUCCGGCCCGGCCCGCCCCGCGAGAGCCCCGCCGUGCGGGGAUCGGGAGCUGUCCCAGUACUCAUGGGUAAGAGAAAGGAAGAAAGUGUUCUAACUCCUGGUUCCCAGAAAAGGCAGAGAAGAGAAUACACAGAUGUACAUAGUGAUGAGUCUAAUGAAGAAGAAACUUUAGAGUUCUCAGCGAGUAGUAGUGCCCCUUCACAGCUGCCUGACGGUGAGGUUGGGAUAAUUGAAAGUAUCCAGCUGAAGAACUUUAUGUGCCAUUCAAAUCUGGGGCCUUUUCAGUUUGGAUCAAAUCUCAAUUUUGUUGUUGGAACCAAUGGAAGUGGAAAAAGUUCUGUAUUAACAGCACUGAUUGUUGGACUUGGUGGAAAAGCCACUGCAACAAACAGAGGUUCCUCAUUAAAAAUGUUUAUUCAAAAAGGAGAGACUUCUGCAGAUAUUUCCAUAACUUUGCGAAACCAAGGAAGAGAUGCAUUUAAACCAGAAUUGUAUGGUACCUCUAUUAUUGUGAAUCAGCGCAUUAAUCAGGAUGGAAGCAGAACUUGCAAACUGAAAAGCAAAGCUGGGACCAUAAUUUCUUCAAAGAAAGAGGAACUCAUAGGAAUACUGGAUCACUUUAAUAUACAGGUAGAUAAUCCUGUGUCUGUUUUAACCCAAGAGAUGAGUAAACAGUUUUUACAGACUAAAAAUGAAGGGGACAAGUACAAGUUUUUUAUGAAGGCAACUCAGCUGGAACAAAUGAAAGAAGAUUAUUCAUUUAUUGGGAAAACAAAAAAAAAUACCCGAGUUCAGAUAGAACAAGGGGAAGAGCGUCUUGAAGAACUUAAGCAGCUUUAUUUGGAAAAGAAGGAAAUUUUCAAAAGCAUCGCAUUUGUGAAUGACAUGCAAAAUCGUCUCAAAGAUUUGAAACAUCAAAUGGCGUGGGCAGUGGUGAGUGAGAUGGAAAAAGAAGUAGAGCUGCUCAAAGAAGGCCUCAGAGCUGAAGAAGGAAAUACAGAGCUCCUUCAGAAGGUAGAGGAUUGCCAGGUAAAAGUGAAUGAAGCAGAAAAAAAGUACAAAGCAAUACAAGACAAAUUGAUAACAGUAAGUGAAGAAGCACAAGCCCUUCAUCCUCAAUGUAUUUCUUUGAAGGCAGAAGUGCAGGCAAAAAGAAAAACAGUCAAUGAAACUGAGAUCGUUUAUAAUCGUUCCAAAACGGAGUUAAAACGUCUGGAAAAAGACCGUGAACAGCUGCAUAAACGAAUUGAGGAACUGAAAAGCUGUGCUAAUCAGAAUUCAGAACCUGAGAAAUUGGAAAGACAAGGGAGAAUUGCAUACUUAAGGGAACAGUUAAAAGCAUUCCAUGAUGAAGAAAUAAUGAUUGGUCAGCAGUUGGAUCAGUUUCAGCAGGCUAUAUCUAAGUGUAGGGAAGAACAUUCUAGACUCAGGAGAGAACGCAGUGAAGUGCAACAAGCACUGGAUGCCCAGCAGAAACAGCUGAGAGACCUGAAAGAUAGUAAAACAAACACUUUGAAAAGAUUUGGACCACAUGUACCAGCAUUUCUUGAAGCAGUUGAAGUAGCCUAUAAUCAAGGACGCUUUAGAAAGAAACCUCUUGGACCUUUAGGUGCUUUGAUUCAUCCAAAAGAUCCUGAACUGAUCUUGGCUAUCGAGUGCUGUUUAAAAGGCCUUCUUCAGGCAUUUUGCUGUGAUAAUCAUAGUGAUGAAAGAACUCUUCAGUUCCUGAUGUCAAAAUAUUAUGCACCUGGACAUAGACCUCAAAUAAUUGUAAAUAAAUUUCAGAAUAGAAUUUAUGAUACUAGUCAGAGAGCUGUUCAUCAUCCAGAAUUCCCAUCAGUUCUGACAGCACUGGAAAUAGACAAUCCGGUGGUUGCCAAUUGUUUGAUCGAUAUGAGGAGUAUAGAAACAGUCCUGCUGAUUAAAAAUAGCCGUAGGGCUCGUGAGGUAAUGCAGUGCAAUCGGCCCCCGAGAAACUGUAGAGAAGCUUUCACUGCUGAAGGUGAUCAAGUAUUUGAACGACGCUAUUACUCUUCCAGUUUUGUCAGACCCAAGUUCCUAAGUCAAGAUGUUGAAGCAGAAAUCAGUCACUUGAAUAAGGAAAUUGAAAACAAAAGGGCACAGUUGACAGCCUCUCAGCAACGCUUGCAUUCCAUUGAAAACGAGAUCAGGCAGAAUGAAGAUCAUCUCUGUGGUCAUCGGCGACACCAAAAACAACUGCAGGUGAAAAUAAGAACAGCAAAUGCAGAGAUAGCAGAUCUUGAAAACGUGGAAGAGCACCAGUCAGCAGACAUCCAUAUAUUACAAGAUGAAGCUGAAGAAAAUAAGGCUAGGAUGGAAUCUGUGAAACAAGACAUGCAGCUACAAAGCAGAAAAAUGGAAGAACUGAAAAACAGUCUCCAAGCUGCUGAAAAAAAAUUAGAAGAGGUGAAAGAAAAAAUUCAUCAAGUGGAAGAAAUUGCUGGCCCAAUUAAGGCUGAAUUAAGCCAGGCUGAGUCAGAAGUGGAAAACAGUAAACGCCAUUUGCAGCACUAUGAAGAUAAACAGAGAGAACACGUGGCUUGCAUAAAUAAGCACAAAGAUUUACUAGUUUCCAAAGAAAAGGAAUUAGAGGAAAAAAUGGCAAAAGCAAGGCAAAUCUUCUCAGAGCCCAUCAAGGUCAGCAGAACUGUUAAAAGUCUUGAUGCAGAAAUGAAUCGCUUGAGAGAGAAGAUAAAUUUAGAAAGCAGUCACCGUGGAAACAGAGAAGAAAUAAUCCAGCAAUUUCAUUAUGCAAAGGAAAGAUACGAGGAUGCAAGCAAUAAAGUGAAGAACUUGAGGAGAUUUAUUGCAGUGCUGGAUGAAGUGAUGACAGAGAGGCUCAAAGUAUAUCGGCAGUUCCUAAGGAACCUUUCUAUGCAAUGCAAACUCCACUUUGAGCACUUACUACGUGUUCGAGGUUGCUCUGGACAUAUAAUUUUUGAUCACAAGAAUGAGACACUUUCCAUAACAGUUCAGCCUCGAGAGGAAGAAAAAUCUGCCCGUAGUGAUCUGAGAUCCUUAUCAGGAGGUGAACGUUCCUUCUCCACAGUUUGUUUCAUUCUUUCUCUGUGGAACAUUUCUGAAUCUCCUUUCAGAUGCAUGGAUGAAUUUGAUGUCUACAUGGAUAUGGUUAACAGAAGAAUUGCCAUUGACAUGAUUCUGGAGAGGGCUGAUUUUCAGCGGCAUCGACAGUUCAUUUUGUUCACCCCCCUGAGCAUGAGUUCUCUGCCUACGAGUCCCCAUAUUCGAAUCCUCCGCAUGCCAGACCCUCCAAGAGACCAAAGAACACUGAAUUUCCAAAAUAGGAAUGACGGAGAUGAAGAUCAAUAACUAUCUCUGAACUUGAAAUUUUUGGCAACUUCAAAAAAAACCCACUUUUUAGAGUUCAGCUGCAUUUCUUUUUUUGUUGUUGUUUUGGGGGAUUUUUUUGUUGUUGUUUGAUGUUACAUGGCUGCAAGAGCCAUUGAGACUACUCAGAGAACGACAUUCAACAGUUUCUGCACUUUUUUACUGAAUAGCAGUUCCUCAAUAAAACCUUAUCACAGUGCACUGAGUCUGUUUCCCUCUCCUGGCAGACCUCGGACAGCCCAGGGUAAUGGGCAGACUCCAGGCAGCUGUGAGGAGGUUACUGACAGAGAGAACCAGGCUUUUUGUUAAUGUGCAUGCUGCAAGAGACAGACAGAGGUCAUCAACUGAACUGGGAAGGGUCUGGCUCAGCAAACCAGGAGGGAUUGUUCAUGAUGAAGGUAAGAGGUAUUUGAGCAUGUUACACAAACAGGCUGUAAAAUCUCUGUCCUUGGAAGUUUUUGGAGUCUGUUGAAGAGACUCCUGCAUCUCCUUCAAGAAGGGAGCUGGACAAGAGACCUGUGAAGGUUCUUGCCCAUCUAAACAAUUCUAUAAUUCCAUAAUUCAAGAUACUUACACCUUUAGGAUUAUGUGAAGAUACGGGGGGCACCUUACAAAGUGCAUGCUUGGCAAAACUUGUCUGGAAGCAGCAGGUCGAGGGAGGUGGUUCUACUGCUCUGCUCUGCUGUUGUGAGUCCUGCCUGGAGUACUGCCCCCAGCUCUGGGGUCCUCUGCAUUGGAAGAGCAUGGACCUGUUGGAGCAGAAUUAGAGGAGGCCACAAAGAUGCUCAGAGGGCUGGAGAACCUCUGCUGUGGAGACAAACUGAGAGUUGUGUCUGUUGAGUUCAGAGAAGGCUGCAGAAAGACCUCAUGGCACCUUCCAGUACUUAAAGGGGCUACAAGAGAACUGGAGAGGGAUUUUUUACUAGGGCCUGCAGUGACAGGACAAGGGAGGGUGGCUUUUAACUGACAGGUAUUAGAUUUAGAUUAGAUAUUAGGAAUAAAUUCUUUAUUGUGAAGGUGAUAAAGCAUUGGAAUAGGUUGCCCAAAGAAGUUUUGGACAGCCCAUCUCUGGAAGUGCUCAAGAUCAGGCUGGAUGGGGCCCUGGGCAACCUGUUUUAAUGCAAGAUGUGCCUGCAGGGGGUUGGAACGGAAUCAUCCCUACGGUCCCUUUCAACCCAAACCAUUCUUUGUUUCUAGGACAUGACCAUGAGCCACAUGACGAGCUUGACUCGAUUUUAUAAUGAAAUUGGAGUAGGUUUUAGACCUUUUUAUAGUAUGAGAUAAAAUGGCAUUGCAUUAUUUCCUACUGAUUCUCUUCAGUAUCCAAAAACCAAAAAUGGCAACAGUGCAGAGGCAGGAAAGAGUAAAGCAUUUAUCUUCAUUAGUCUUCUAUAAUGAGUUGUGUGGAGAAAAGAGAUUAAGGAAAAUGAAUGCAUUCCUACUGAGCUAACACUUCAGCUUUCUCCCAAGCUUUUAUAGACCUACUUGAAAUAUUGGAGGACAUGGCAACAAUUCUGGUCUUUUGUUCAAAUCAGUACUUUGUAUUUAUUCUAAUCGACCCCUGUACUUGAUGAAGAUGUGUUCCUAACUAUAUAAUUAUUAUAAGCAUAUUUUCAUGGUGGAGAAUUAAUUCAGAAUAAACAAUUACUGAAGCCCUUGCAUGGAUACACUUAUUUUUGCAGUGAUCCUACUAAGGUCUCAAAACUAACAUAUUCUUGGUUCUUUAAAGACAGAGUUUAAUGUAGUGGCUACCUGGAGAGAAGACUGCAGUGCUGAUGCUACAUUUUUGAGUUUGUGUUUUUGAGUUGUUGGUCAUUUUGGAUGGCAGUGCAUUGCUUAAUGCUGCACUAAAGUAAAUGGAGCCUGUCUAGACACAUAAAUUCAAUGUGCAGGGAAACAUAGAAUGAGAAAUUGCUUCUCAUGUAUGUAAACCAGAGGCAUAAAAUCUGAGAAGUAUUCAAUGUGGGCAUAUCAUUCUCAGAAGUGUGGAAUUUCUAGAAUGUGUAUUUAAGUCAUGGCCAAACACAUGAAGUACACUCCUCUUAAUUUGCUCAGACUAUUAUAUGUGUAGCCUAAGUAAAAUUCUGGCGUAGAAAAUGUACUUGACAUUUCUGGUUUUGCUGUUUGGAAUACAAAGCAACCCAAAAAUGACAGUAUGGCUGUGGUUUUGGCAGCCAUUGAUUCUGUGAUCCCCCCCCAAAACAAACCUUAACAAGCUGUGUAAAACUUUUUGUUGCUUGUUUUCUUUUCCCUUUAAUUUUAAGAUGAGCUUUACUUUUUAAAUUUGAAAAUACAGAGAAUUACUUGGUUUGUGCCAUAUUUUAUUGGUUGAUUUUUAGCUAUUAAAUGUAGGGUCUUGUUUCUUCAUAAGGUAAGGAAGAAAUAUCAAACAUGCAAUUGUAAGGUGUUCAGAUUGCUUUUUUUUUUCUUUUAAUCCAGCAAGAAACCAACUGUUUAAAGCAUCAGAGAAAUGGGGCAUAGGAAGGUUUUUAAUCUGCAAUUUCUGCAGUAUGAUAGUUCUUCAUUCUCUCCCAGGACUGUGCAGAAUUUGUCACAGGAUAGAGAGAAACUUGAUUUGUGCACUUAGAAUUGAAGAGGAAGUUGGUUCUCCUCACUAUCCCUCUUUUAUCAUCAUACUUCAUGGUUAAUUUAUCAGUAGUGAUUUUUAACAUCAUCUCUAUUUAUAUUAAACACAGAGUAGUUUAGUGUCACAUGGCAAGAGGGAAGUAUCUUACUGCAGGAGGGAAAAAACAUUAAAAACCAGGUUUAAGCUGAGCAAAUAAACUGUAUUUCACUUACACAGCUUAAAAAUCAGGACAGGUUUAGUAGCUGUGCUGGUAAAUCUUAGCAGUAGCAUCUUAGAGCAUCAACAGCUGCUCCAGCCUUAAAUACAAGAACUACAACUUUUGGUUUUGUAUAAUAUGACUCUUCUAGUGAGUGAGUGUAAAGUAGUUUUCUUCAUGCUUCAGUAAUGAAAUACAUAUUUCCCAGUGUGUAGUGACAGAUAAUUAAAGAGAUUGAACUUUUUCUUUUUUUAUUACCAUGCUGAAGACAUGAAAUAAGAAUUAGGGGAAAAGGUCAAAUGUUAUAAAUUUAUUUUGGGACAUAUAUAUUGCAACCUCUGUGGAAGCUUUUGAAAAUUCUGGCAAAGAUCAAUACACUUCCAAUAAAACCUUUAAACUUGCAAUAAAACAAUAUUUUAAACAUUAUAUAUAUAUAUAUUUAUAUAUAUUCUUAAUUAAAGGGUUAAUUUUAGCAGGAUUUUCUUUUUUUUUUUUAA